CCCGUCACACCACGAAAGUUGGUAACACCCGAAGCCGGCGAACCGACGCGCAAGCGAGGGAACCGUCGAAGGUGGGAUCGAUGAUUGGGGUGAAGUCGUAACAAGGUACC
RNAcentral lists this ribosomal RNA (110 nucleotides) under uncultured bacterium. RNAcentral describes it as "partial 16S ribosomal RNA". It matches the Rfam family "Bacterial small subunit ribosomal RNA", at positions 1393 to 1500 of the family's 1533-position model. The record is from RNAcentral.